CCUACGGGAGGCAGCAGUGAGGAAUAUUGGUCAAUGGACGAGAGUCUGAACCAGCCAAGUAGCGUGAAGGAUGACUGCCCUAUGGGUUGUAAACUUCUUUUAUAUGGGAAUAAAAUGUUCCACGUGUGGGAUUUUGUAUGUACUUUAUGAAUAAGGAUCGGCUAACUCCGUGCCAGCAGCCGCGGUAAUACGGAGGAUCCGAGCGUUAUCCGGAUUUAUUGGGUUUAAAGGGAGCGUAGGUGGAUUGUUAAGUCAGUUGUGAAAGUUUGCGGCUCAACCGUAAAAUUGCAGUUGAAACUGGCAGUCUUGAGUACAGUAGAGGUGGGCGGAAUUCGUGGUGUAGCGGUGAAAUGCUUAGAUAUCACGAAGAACUCCGAUUGCGAAGGCAGUUCACUGGACUGCAACUGACACUGAGGCUCGAAAGUGUGGGUAUCAAACAGGAUUAGAUACCCCAGUAGUC
RNAcentral lists this ribosomal RNA (460 nucleotides) under uncultured bacterium. Its description in RNAcentral is "partial 16S ribosomal RNA". It matches the Rfam family "Bacterial small subunit ribosomal RNA", at positions 338 to 795 of the family's 1533-position model. The record is from RNAcentral.